UACAGAGGUCCCAAGCGUUGUUCGGAUUCACUGGGCGUAAAGGGUGCGUAGGUGGCUUGGAAAGUUUGAUGUGAAAGCUCAGGGCUCAACCCUGAAAUGGCAUUGAAUACUAUCGAGCUGGAGGUUUGGAGGGGGGACUGGAAUUCUUGGUGUAGCAGUGAAAUGCGUAGAUAUCAAGAGGAACACCAGUGGCGAAGGCGAGUCCCUGGACAACACCUGACACUGAGGCACGAAAGCCGGGGGAGCAAACAGG
Molecule: ribosomal RNA, 253 nt
Filed under: uncultured bacterium
Lineage: Bacteria
Description: partial 16S ribosomal RNA
Rfam family: Bacterial small subunit ribosomal RNA
Source: RNAcentral